AGGAUGAACGCUGGCGGCGUGCCUAAUACAUGCAAGUCGAGCGGUAACACUUCGGGUGACGAGCGGCGGACGGCUGAGUAACACGUAGGAACGUACCCCAAAGUGAGGGAUAAGCACCGGAAACGGUGUCUAAUACCGCAUGUGCUCUUCGGAGUAAAGCUUCGGCGCUUUGGGAACGGCCUGCGCAUGAUUAGCUUGUUGGUGAGGUAAAAGCUCACCAAGGCGACGAUCAUUAGCUGGUCUGAGAGGAUGAUCAGCCAGACUGGGACUGAGAACGGCCCAGACUCCGUACGGGAGGCAGCAGGUAGGGAAUUUUCCACAAGU
Molecule: ribosomal RNA, 324 nt
Filed under: uncultured bacterium
Lineage: Bacteria
Description: SSU rRNA
Rfam family: Bacterial small subunit ribosomal RNA
Source: RNAcentral